Molecule: transfer RNA, 85 nt
Organism: Felis catus (domestic cat)
Lineage: Eukaryota; Metazoa; Chordata; Mammalia; Carnivora; Felidae
Rfam family: tRNA
About the family: Transfer RNA (tRNA) molecules are approximately 80 nucleotides in length. Their secondary structure includes four short double-helical elements and three loops (D, anti-codon, and T loops).
Source: Rfam
GCCUGGGUGGCUCAGUCGGUUGAGCAUCUGACUUUGGCUCAGGUCAUGAUCUCACGGCUUGUGGCUUCAAGCCCCACAUCAGGCU